This 502-nucleotide unclassified non-coding RNA is filed under the name Hevea brasiliensis (rubber tree). The record is from RNAcentral. Lineage: Eukaryota; Viridiplantae; Streptophyta; Magnoliopsida; Malpighiales; Euphorbiaceae.
ACGAUACGGGUGGACUCAAGCUCUUGCAAGUUGAAGAAGAAAAGAAAUCUAGUGAUCAAGAACAAGAUGGAAAAAGUACGAAAGUUUACUCUAUGGAUGAAAUUUGGAAAGAUAUUGAAUUAUUAGAAGAAAAUGAAGAAAAAAUGAAUAAACCAAUUAUGGGGUCCAUUUCACCCCUAUGGGAUUAUUCCCUAGACUCACUUUGGAAAGAUUUUGAUUGGAAUAACUUUCGAUAGGAACAUGACUUUGAAUUAGACGAGACAACAGAUUUCAUAUAUCAAAUGGUUAAAUUGAGGAACACAAAAAAACGAAUUGCUAGGAGGUUCAUUUAUUUGAAAAGAAAAAACAAAAACAAAAUUGUUAUAGUUUGUUAUAGGUUUUACAAGAAAAAUAUUAAGUUUUAACUUGUAUAUUACUAUAUUAGUAGUGGUGAAAAAAAUAAGAAAUGAUUAGAAGGUGCUAGACCUCUCUUAGUAGUGCUUUGGAAUUAAGUCUCUUAUUG